RNAcentral lists this long non-coding RNA (2001 nucleotides) under Lynx pardinus (Iberian lynx). The record is from RNAcentral. Lineage: Eukaryota; Metazoa; Chordata; Mammalia; Carnivora; Felidae.
GCAGCUGCUCCCAACCCCAGCCCCUCUGCUGCUUUGGAACAGAUCACCACUGCAAGAGAGGAAGCUGCUACUGUGAUGAAUUCUGCCACGAGGUGUCAGACUGCUGCCCAGACCACCGCACCCUGUGCACCCUGGAUAACUCACAUGCAGGCUCCUUCCCACCCCUGGCGGAGCCGGAUGCUGUGAUGGACAGAGGCAAGCCCCUUGCUUGUACUUCAGGCCAAGGCCAGGAUGUGGACUGGAUGCCUCCUGAGGGCCCUGAUAAUCCUGAGAUCCUCACAUUUGGUCCAUUUCGUACCAAAAGUGCCCACAUAUUCCUCCCAGCUUUGUUUCCCCACUGCUCCUGACCACCUGCUGCUCCCCUCUGAGCUCCUUUCCCAGAUCCCCACAGGGAGAGGCUAAGCUGUUGGUGGUUGGGGAUCAGGGUGGCGAGUGAGGUGGUUGGGUCACCUAACUGCCCCCGCAUCUCUUGCAACAUAGAUGCCUCUUGACCUGACCCAUGUAGACUUUUGAGGGAAGACAGGAGUCUGCAGAGAGGUGCUAGGGAUGUUACAUAGGAGGAGGGAGACUGGGAGUCAGGGAGGAGGCCAGGAGCUUUUGCUUUGUGUUUCUCAGCUUCUCAGAAUACCAAGAUGGUGCUGCAGAUGGUGCUGAGGAGGGAGACCCCCCCGAGCCCUGCAAGAAGCAACCUAGACUGGAUACAGAAUGUGGUGAGUACCCUGGUGGUUCUCCCGGAAGGGGUGCUGACAACCUGCUCCUGCCUCCCUGGCCUGUAGACCCCAGAGUCAGGGAACCACUACCAAGGGGGGAAAGAGACCUGAGCUGGGGCACAGCUCCACGGUUUUAGGGCUAGGAGCCAUGGUAUCUGACCAUGGACACUGACACCUGAAUUUCAUAUAAUUUUCAUGUGUCAUGACAUAUUCUUUUGACUUUUUUCAACCACUUAAAAUAUAAAAAACAUUCUUAACUUGUGAUCUGCACACACACACACACACACACACACACACACACACACACAAACCUGCAACAAGUCAGACUUGGCCCACGGAUUGUGGUUGGCUGCUCUCUGCCCUAAAUCAUCCUUUGUUCUUUACUUUUCGUUUGGGUCGUGACUUCAGCACUGACCUGUCCAGAGCUCUCUGCCCAGAACUGGAGCAGAGGCUUCAGUCCCCACUCUAGCAUAUUAUGACCAUUGGGCAGAAAGAAAGGCAGCAUGGUACAAGGAAAGAGCAUGGACUCGGGAGCCAGCAAGACCUGGGUUCAAAUCCUGUCUCUACCACUUAUUACCUGGAUGAUUACUGGAUGACCUGAAGUAACUUCUUCUGCCUUUCUGAGCUUCCCUUUCCUCAUCUGUGUCCCAGAGCUUGCCCUGUAGAGCUGUUACAAAAGGGCCUUGGUAGAUGUACAACGAGACAUAGCUAUUAUUUGGGGACAUGCAAAUAAGCUGCAGAGGGUGUAGGCCUUCGCUUCCUGCUCACUUAGGUCCAGCAGCUUCUGCACACCAGCCUCCCAGGGAGGCCCCUCUCCAUCUCCAUGAAGAAAAUCAAGAAGAGAGCCUGACAUCUCCCAUGAAGCUCCUCCAGGGCCCUGUGAUGCAGAGCCCACCCUAUUCCCCUCCCCCAGCAUCCCCAGGUCUGCUGGGGCCUUACCACUGGGCCCACUGUGCUUGUCUCUUGGUUUCUAUCCUGCGUGCUUCUAUAUUGGUUCAACCAGAGGAAGACGGAAAUCUGCAAUAGUCAUAAACACAUUUAAAUCAGCCAUACAUGGCUGGGUGGCUCAGUCAGUUGAGUAUCCAAAUUCAGCUCUGGUCAUGAUCUCACAGUUCAUGAGUUCAAGCCCUGCAUUGGGCUCUGUGCUUACAGCCCAAAGCCUGGAGCCUGCUUCGGAUUCUGUGUCUCCCUCUCUCUCUGCCCCUCCCCUGCUCUCUCUCUCUCUCACUCUCUCUCUCAAAAUAAAUGAACAUUAAAAAAAUUAAAUCAGCCAUACAGAUUAUAAAACAUA